UACGUAGGUGGCAAGCGUUAUCCGGAAUUAUUGGGCGUAAAGAGCGCGCAGGUGGUUUGUCGCGUCGUCUGUGAAAUUCCGGGGCUUAACCUCGGGCGUGCAGGCGAUACGGGCAAUACUUGAGUGCUGUAGGGGAGACUGGAAUUCCUGGUGUAGCGGUGAAAUGCGCAGAUAUCAGGAGGAACACCAAUGGCGAAGGCAGGUCUCUGGGCAGUUACAGACGCUGAGGAGCGAAAGCAUGGGUAGCGAACAGGAUUAGA
This 260-nucleotide ribosomal RNA is filed under the name uncultured prokaryote. Its description in RNAcentral is "partial 16S ribosomal RNA". It matches the Rfam family "Bacterial small subunit ribosomal RNA", at positions 524 to 782 of the family's 1533-position model. The record is from RNAcentral.